Molecule: unclassified non-coding RNA, 1965 nt
Filed under: Nilaparvata lugens (brown planthopper)
Lineage: Eukaryota; Metazoa; Arthropoda; Insecta; Hemiptera; Delphacidae
Description: lHFPL tetraspan subfamily member 2 protein, transcript variant X1
Source: RNAcentral
ACACACUCCGGGUAGCCGGCACUUUUUAGUGUGGAUUGGAGCUCCCAACGCCAACAGACCAACAGUAUCAGUCAGACCUGUGAAGGGACCACAACUCUCAACAAACAUCUACAUCCAUCUACAAACAACUUUAUAGCCCCCACCGCUCUUUCCUUCCCAUAUUUUCCCUUAUUCCCUCCUGUUUAUCCCUUUCUCCCUCCAACCUGUGACAUUCAAAACCAUGUGCCUUGCUUAGAGAGAGAUAAGAACGCUAGCAGUGUUGUGACAGAUCGGUUCUGUUAUUGUUGAGAAAGUGUGGUGAUAGUUUUCGUUUUGAAUGUUUUGAAGUGAACUGGUAAUGGUUUGUUAGGUGGUGAUAGAGUGACAAGGAGAUUUGGUGAUAACACACUAUUCAAGUGAAGAGAGAAGUCGUUUCAAAAAGAUCAGAAAUGGGGCACAUAAUUUUGACAACUCACAGCCUAAUUUGGGUCCUGCUGACCAUCACUGCGACUCUAGCUGUAUUCUCAGGCCUUGUAUCUCCUGAAUGGCUUCAAAGUCAGACUCCAGUAAUGUAUGCAAACAACACACUGUAUAUGAUACCAUCCAUCGGUAUAUUCAACCGAUGUAUCAAACUGAAUAACCAGAAGAAUUGUGCCUCAUUUGCCAUCGAUGGAUUAUCAACCAGUUCGCAUAGUUUUCCCACAUUAUGGAAGACAUCUCUGAUUAUGUUCGUUCUGGGUUUGGCCAUCAUGGUAUUCACAGUAAUGACAGCCGUACUGAGUUGCUGUGUGCAAAGUGUCUACAAGAAGAGUAUUUUCACGGUCACUGGUACCGUGCAAGCAGUAGCUGGUAUUUUUUAUUUGUUGGGACUGAUAACGUAUACUGCCGGUUGGGGGUGCCCUAGGAUGGUGAAACUUUGUGGUGAAGAGUCAGGUCCAUUUAGUAAAGGAAAUUGUUCAAUUGGCCCGUCCUUAUAUACAGCUUUAGUUGGCACAGGACUCACCUUCCUUACUGCUGUAUUAUCGGUUAAAGCAGAAAAAACUACAUCCAGCGAUAGAGUGAGCCAUCAUGUCGAGAAAGGAGAAACUAUAGUAUGUUUACUGUAAAAAACGAACAUAUAAUUAUCCAAGGAGAAGCGAAAAGGAGGGUUCUUAUCUAAUGAUUGAUAGUUUUUAUUCUUGAAUUUCAAAAUCAGUCAUGGGAAUGUACCGUACGUUAUUUGAGAAUGUGCUUCAGCUAUCAUUGUCUAGCAUUUUAUAAACAUAUAAGAAUCCCAGAUUACGUACUAUUUCAUUUCAUUGUAUCAUAUAGUUUUUUAUAAUCAGAGGGACCACAAAAAAGAACUUACUGUUAACAUCAACGAGGUUGAGUUACAUUAUUUUCAGACUGCUAUAUUGGAUAUCUGAAAUUUCUAUUUGAAAUUCUGAGAAAAUUAAAUAAGCUAAUAUUCUUGAAAGCCACUUUUACUCUCAUACUUGUAGUAAAAUGAUUGAUUUUAUACUUGAAUAAUGUAAAGAACCAGUAGUAUCUGGGCAACUAUACAGAUACGGUAAUAGUUUACACUUCAAUUGAAUCUAAAUGAGAAUUCAGAAAUAUAUUUUCAUAUCAUAGAUAUGCACAUUAUUAAUUUCCCAAAAAUAAUGGUUCAACUUCUAACACAGUCUCAGAUUCAUUUCUGUCUUCCAAGUCUUAUUGAAUAUUCAAUUUGAUUAACUUUGUUACUUUGUAACCUUAAUACAUUGGAUACUUGAAAAUGUGACUUGUAAAAAUACUUGAGAAACUAUGACCAUUCCAAAAAGAAUGGACAUUUCUUUUCUCGUUCAAGCAUUGAUGUCUAUCAUAACUAAAUCCAUUCCACAUAAGUUCAAGAAUUUCAAUCAGGCAUCAUGAGUUUUAUUUCUUGUUUUUAAAAUCUUUGAGAAAAAUAGUUAUUGUGAAAUUAGUACAAAUAAUUGAGAAAUAAGAGUGCCUCAAUAUAUGACAAAC